RNAcentral lists this ribosomal RNA (497 nucleotides) under uncultured bacterium. Its description in RNAcentral is "partial 16S ribosomal RNA". It matches the Rfam family "Bacterial small subunit ribosomal RNA", at positions 28 to 507 of the family's 1533-position model. The record is from RNAcentral.
GAUGAACGCUGGCGGCGUGCCUAAUACAUGCAAGUCGAGCGAACGGACGAGAAGCUUGCUUCUCUGAUGUUAGCGGCGGACGGGUGAGUAACACGUGGAUAACCUACCUAUAAGACUGGGAUAACUUCGGGAAACCGGAGCUAAUACCGGAUGAUAUUUUGAACCGCAUGGUUCAAAAGUGAAAGACGGUCUUGCUGUCACUUAUAGAUGGAUCCGCGCUGCAUUAGCUAGUUGGUAAGGUAACGGCUUACCAAGGCAACGAUGCAUAGCCGACCUGAGAGGGUGAUCGGCCACACUGGAACUGAGACACGGUCCAGACUCCUACGGGAGGCAGCAGUAGGGAAUCUUCCGCAAUGGGCGAAAGCCUGACGGAGCAACGCCGAGUGAGUGAUGAAGGCCUUCGGAUCGUAAAACUCUGUUAUUAGGGAAGAACAUAUGUGUAAGUAACUGUGCACAUCUUGACGGUACCUAAUCAGAAAGCCACGGCUAACUACGUG